Non-coding RNA from Lepisosteus oculatus (spotted gar), 675 nucleotides. Lineage: Eukaryota; Metazoa; Chordata; Actinopteri; Semionotiformes; Lepisosteidae. The record is from RefSeq and is a predicted model, not a curated record.
GCUGCAGAGGGCGCGCGUGAGCCCGGGUCGAGUCGCGAGCGCAGGUGGUCGCGGUCCCGGUCUUUCUCGCCGCCGGGCGCUCGCGGAGCCGACCACGCCGUAAAACCACUGUCUUCCUCCGUUUAAACUUGAGAGCCGAAGCCGGACUCCUGCCCGGGGGGCUCCACGGCGUGCCGGCGGGGGGGCUGCGUGCGGGCGGAGCAGGUCUGCGAUGGGACGGACGACUGCGGGGACGGCAGUGACGAGAGCGAGGGGCUCUGCGGCCACUACAGGAAGUGCGACUUCGAGAGCGGCACCUGCGAAUGGUCACAGGGCGAGGAGUCGAAUCUGUCCUGGAGCCGGAUCAAUCAGACUCAGACGUAUGUGACCUUUGACCCGCAGGCUGGCCCCGGGAGGGAUCACACACUGAACAUGGCUGCGGGGCACUUCCUGUACAUCAGCAGCCCAAUGAGUGAUGGCGCUCAUUGGACACACCUGCAUAGCCCAGUCCUGGAGCCCACCAAUAGCACGCAUCCCUGCACGUUGGUGCUGUACGCCCACCUUUUUGGGCCCCGUGUCGGGGUGCUGUCUGUGCUGAUCUUAACCCCUAAGAGCCUGAAGCCUGUGUGGCACAAGGAUGGUAACCAUGGUGACCUCUGGUUCAAAGGUCAGGUGGACAUUGUCGUCAACAGCACC